GCAGAGAUUUUCCCUCGUACCUUUUGCAUCAUGAUUUAGCCAGCAUCUUCAAGCAAAGCGAACUUUAGUUUGAAACCCCGAAACUGUGUGAGCUACUCCAAGACAGCCUAUUUAUAGGGCAAACCCGUCUCUGUGGCAAAAGAGUGGGAAGAACUUCGAGUAGGGGUGACAGACCUAUCGAACUCAGUUAUAGCUGGUUGCCCGGGAAUUGGAUAAAAGUUCAGCCUUAUAGCUUCUCCCUAAACCGUAAGAGUUAGUCAAAGGGGGUACAGCCCCUUUGAACAAAGACACAACUUUUCCAGGAGGAUAAAGAUCAUAUUUUUUAAGGCAAAACGUUCCGGUGGGCCUAAAAGCAGCCAUCCUAACAGAAAGCGUUAAAGCUCGAACGUACUAUCCCGAUACCCAAAUCUUAUUCCCCUGAUAUUACCGAGCCUCCCCAUGCAUCCAUGGGGGUGACCCUGCUAAAAUGAGUAAUAAGAGAGCCCUCUCUCCCAGCACAUGUGUAAAUCGGAACGGACUAACCACCGAACAAUAACGGCCCCAAACAAAGAGGGCACUGGACAAAAACUAGAAAAUCGUCCACCGUUAACCCUACACUGGUGUGCCCCCCGGGAAAGACUAAAAGAAAGAGAAAGGAACUCGGCAAACAAGCCUCGCCUGUUUACCAAAAACAUCGCCUCUUGCAAGAAUAAGAGGUCCCGCCUGCCCGGUGACUAUAUGUUUAACGGCCGCGGUAUUUUGACCGUGCGAAGGUAGCGUAAUCACUUGUCUUUUAAAUGGAGACCUGUAUGAAUGGCAUAACGAGGGCUUAACUGUCUCCUCUUUCCAGUCAAUGAAAUUGAUCUCCCCGUGCAGAAGCGGGGAUAAGCACAUAAGACGAGAAGACCCUAUGGAGCUUUAGACACCAAGACAGACCAUGUUAAGAACCCCAUAAACUAAAGGCCUGAACUUAAUGACCACCUGUCCUAAUGUCUUCGGUUGGGGCGACCAUGGGGUAGCACAAAACCCCCAUGUGGAAUGGAAGAACUCCCACAAGCAAGAGCUACAACUCUAACUAACAGAACUUCUGACCUAUCAUGAUCCGGUACCCACCGAUCAACGGACCAAGUUACCCUAGGGAUAACAGCGCAAUCCCCUUCUAGAGCCCAUAUCGACAAGGGGGUUUACGACCUCGAUGUUGGAUCAGGACAUCCUAAUGGUGCAG
This 1204-nucleotide ribosomal RNA is filed under the name Gnathanodon speciosus (golden trevally). Its description in RNAcentral is "partial 16S ribosomal RNA". It matches the Rfam family "Bacterial large subunit ribosomal RNA", at positions 585 to 2558 of the family's 2925-position model. The record is from RNAcentral. Lineage: Eukaryota; Metazoa; Chordata; Actinopteri; Carangiformes; Carangidae.